This 935-nucleotide unclassified non-coding RNA is filed under the name Hevea brasiliensis (rubber tree). Lineage: Eukaryota; Viridiplantae; Streptophyta; Magnoliopsida; Malpighiales; Euphorbiaceae. The record is from RNAcentral.
GAUCGUGUUUCUUACAGGCAUGGGUAAUGCUUCUAUUCUUAUCAGUAGUUCAUGAUCUUACUAUAAGUAACUCUUGAUGUGCAUGCUAGCAUUUGAAUGAAUAAUGAUUUCAUGGACUUUUUAUCAGCAUCGCACUGAUGCUAAAUUUAUUUUGCUGCCAUGCCAAAAUUUUGGAGAUCCUGAAAUUUUUCGAUGUUAUAUAGGAUUUCCCUCAAUUCUUUAUUUAUUUCAAAUGAUUAUUUUUAGAAUACAAUGGACAGAAUGUCGCAUCAAUAGUUUGGGAACUCUAAAUUUGAUUGUACAUCAGAACAUUUGAGGAAUACUCUCCAAUCCCAGGAUAAUAGAGGAGGCAAAUUUUACAUGAGGGCUUUAGUUGAGGGUGGGCGAUAUCUCAUCUCUGCCCUGGAUAGGUACUUUGCUGAAAAAUAAUUGUAAUUUUACUCGUCUAAGUACUGUUGCUCCUGUAACUCCUGUAUGCCCAUUACCAUAUCUAGCAGAUGGUGCCUCUUUGCAUUUGGCAGGUGCACUUGCAGUGGCACAGCCAGUUGACUCUUUUUAGUCAUUGUUGUUAUCUGUCACCAUAACUAUCUAAAUAUUGGGGAUGAAAAAUGGGUGAUGAUGGGUGCAAACUUAGGUGAGGAGUGUUUUGCGAGAUUGUUUUAUAAUUAAACAGGCCUGGCAUUUGUUGUUAGAUCAACUUGUCAUGAGCUAGGAGAACCUAUUUGAUUGUCUUAGAAAUUCUGCUUGACAUAUAAUGUCCAGCUUUUCUCAAGCAUGAUGGGAUUUUAAUUUUGCUUUGCAUUGUCUCUUCAAUCAUAAUGAAUGGGACAAAAAGGAUGCUUUGUGACAACAUUAAUAACUUAAAAUGGGCUACAUUUAUGUGAAAAAGAAGAAUGGUUGUGGAAGACAGAUGAAUUGGUAUUGAUGCAAUGGAG